CCCUAAACGUCUGUGGGAGAUUAUGGUCAGGCGUCGACAAGCGGUUCGGGGUUCCGUCCCCACGCCUCUGCUCGGUGGCGGCUCUCGGGCUCCAUUCGUUGGCAGCUCGCUUGACCAGGAAUGAAGGAGGGUUGUUCGGGGGAGAAAGUACUCCGUCGUGAGAGGUGAAAUUCUUAGACCGACGGAAGACUAACUACAGCGAAGGCAUUCUCCAAGGAUACCUUCCUCAAUCAAGAACCAAAGUG
Molecule: ribosomal RNA, 245 nt
Filed under: Neobodo sp.
Lineage: Eukaryota; Euglenozoa; Kinetoplastea; Neobodonida; Neobodonidae
Description: partial small subunit ribosomal RNA
Rfam family: Eukaryotic small subunit ribosomal RNA
Source: RNAcentral